AUUGAACGCUGGCGGAAUGCUUUACACAUGCAAGUCGAGCGGCAGCGCGGGGGCAACCCUGCGGCGAGCGGCGAACGGGUGAGUAAUACAUCGGAACGUGUCCUUGAGUGGGGGAGUAGCUCGGCGAAAGCCGGAUUAAUACCGCAUAAGCUCUGAGGAGGAAAGCGGGGGACCGUGGUAACGGGCCUCGCGCUGUUGGAGCGGCCGAUGUCGGAUUAGCUAGUU
RNAcentral lists this ribosomal RNA (225 nucleotides) under uncultured bacterium. Its description in RNAcentral is "partial 16S ribosomal RNA". It matches the Rfam family "Bacterial small subunit ribosomal RNA", at positions 30 to 250 of the family's 1533-position model. The record is from RNAcentral.